This 389-nucleotide unclassified non-coding RNA is filed under the name Hevea brasiliensis (rubber tree). The record is from RNAcentral. Lineage: Eukaryota; Viridiplantae; Streptophyta; Magnoliopsida; Malpighiales; Euphorbiaceae.
CCUCAAGAGAAGCUUUGAGAGGCUCAAUGAGCUCUGGAAACUCAAUCUCUUCAAGGGCCUUGAACACAUCUUCUGCAUUUAUCGUUUGCCUCUUAGACUCCUUGCAUAUGUCAUUAGCAGUUGCGGAGAGGUAAUGGAUGAAAAUUCGAGCACUUUCAGAGAAAGCAAGAAGCGAGUCACGAAGAAGUGAGAUAUCAGUAUCUGUAGAUAGCUGAGAAAGCUUUUCCUUCACAAGCCUACGUACAAUAGUCUUGGGAAGACCCUCUUGAUCGAUUUGCACUGUUGUUUCUGCUACUACUUUCUCCUUCUCCUUGUUCUGCUUCUCUAUCUCCGCCAUUUUUCCCCUCUCUGUGUGUGUUUGGCUGAAUACUGAAAGAUGAUUUUUGGGG